UCGCCUGUUUUUUCAAAAACAUGUCCUUUUGUAUUUAAUUUAAGGUCUGACCUGCCCAGUGAUUUUAAUUUAACGGCCGCGGUAUACUGACCGUGCAAAGGUAGCAUAAUCAUUAGUCUUUUAAUAGAGGGCUGGAAUGAAAGGUUUAACGAGGAAUAAGCUGUCUCAUUUUAUUUGUUUUAAAAUUUAAUUUCUUAGUUAAAAAGCUAAGAUAAUAUUGGAAGACGAGAAGACCCUAUAGAUCUUUAUAUAAUUUUUUUAAUUUAAAAUUAUAUUAUUUUAAUUAUAUAUUAUUAUAUUUUGUUGGGGUGACAAAAAUAUAUAAAUAACUUUUUUAUUUCAAAAACAUUGAUUAAUGAUUAAAUGAUCCAAUAAUAUUGAUUACUAGAUUAAGUUACCUUAGGGAUAACAGCGUAAUCCUCCUUGGAAGUUCUUAUUUACAGGAUGGGCUUGCGACCUCGAUGUUGGAUUAAGAUAAUAGCUAGGUGUAGCCGCUUAGUAUAUAGGUCUGUUCGACCUUUAAAUUCUUACAUGAUCUGAGUUCAGACCGGUUUAAGCCAGGUCGGUUUCUA
Molecule: ribosomal RNA, 572 nt
Filed under: Brachythemis contaminata
Lineage: Eukaryota; Metazoa; Arthropoda; Insecta; Odonata; Libellulidae
Description: partial large subunit ribosomal RNA
Rfam family: Bacterial large subunit ribosomal RNA
Source: RNAcentral